RNAcentral lists this ribosomal RNA (684 nucleotides) under Triticum aestivum (bread wheat). RNAcentral's name for it is "partial small subunit ribosomal RNA". Lineage: Eukaryota; Viridiplantae; Streptophyta; Magnoliopsida; Poales; Poaceae. The record is from RNAcentral.
AUGCUGCUUCCUGUUGGUUCUAUUCAGGAGAUUGACAAGCGGUGUCGUGCUUUCUUUUGGGCUGGCGAUGACCACGUGAAUGGGGGUCAAUGCAAAGUUGCUUGGGCAGACGUCUGUGCCCCCACUAAGAAGGGCGGCCUGGGCUUUAGAUGCCUUCGUACUCAUAAUAUUUGCCUGCUUCUAAAAUCCCUCAGUAAAAUACACCAACCCGGUCUUGGCUCUUGGGACUCUUGGCUGGCCUCCACGUAUGGCUGGGAAGGCGGGCACUACAUUGGUGACACUCAUAGACUACACACAAUAGUUUGGAAGGACCUCCUGUCUGGUCUCCCUUUCUUCCGCUCUAUUACCCACGUCAAGAUCGGUAACGGUGUCUCAACCGCGUUUUGGUUGGAUCUAUGGAUCGGCAACGAUACCUUGGCUGCUCGCUUCCCAAGUCUUUUCUCCCAUGUUACAAAACCUAAUGUAUCUGUUGCAUUUGUUCUUUCGGCGGAGGAUCUUCGUCUUUCGUUACAACCACGUCUGACCAUCGCUGCUACUAACGAGCUUCUUUGCCUGCGUACUGUUUUAGCCACAGUUAACUUGAUGCCACAGGUGCCAGAUAACCGUUUAUGCAGGAUCAACGAUAAGCUUCUUUCUGUUGCUUCUGCGUAUGGAGCUGCUUUCUCAUCUUGGCCGGAUGAUUAG